RNAcentral lists this ribosomal RNA (468 nucleotides) under uncultured bacterium. RNAcentral's name for it is "partial 16S ribosomal RNA". It matches the Rfam family "Bacterial small subunit ribosomal RNA", at positions 28 to 523 of the family's 1533-position model. The record is from RNAcentral.
GAUGAACGCUGGCGGCGUGCCUAACACAUGCAAGUCGAGCGAUUCACUUCGGUGAAGAGCGGCGGACGGGUGAGUAACGCGUGGGUAACCUGCCUCAUACACAUGGAUAACAUACCGAAAGGUUUGAUAAUACAAGAUGAUAUAAGAGAUUCGCAUGGAUUUCUUAUCAAAGCUCCGGCGGUAUGAGAUGGACCCGCGUCUGAUUAGUGAGUUGGUAAGGUAACGGCUUACCAAGGCGACGAUCAGUAGCCGGCCUGAGAGGGUGAACGGCCACAUUGGGACUGAGACACGGUCGAAACUCCUAAGGGAGGAAGCAGUGGGGAAUAUUGCACAAUGGGCGAAAGCCUGAUGCAGCAACGCCGCGUGAGCGAUGAAGGCCUUCGGGUCGUAAAGCUCUAUCCUCAAGGAAGAUAAUGACGGUACUUGAGGAGGAAGCCCCGGCUAACUACGUGCCAGCCGCCGCCGUAA